Molecule: ribosomal RNA, 253 nt
Filed under: uncultured bacterium
Lineage: Bacteria
Description: partial 16S ribosomal RNA
Rfam family: Bacterial small subunit ribosomal RNA
Source: RNAcentral
UACGUAGGGGGCAAGCGUUGUCCGGAUUUAUUGGGCGUAAAGAGCGUGUAGGCGGCCGUACAGGUCAGCUGUGAAAACUCGAGGCUCAACCUCGAGACGUCGGUUGAAACCGUACGGCUAGAGUCCGGAAGAGGAGAGUGGAAUUCCCGGUGUAGCGGUGAAAUGCGCAGAUAUCGGGAAGAACACCCGUGGCGAAGGCGGCUCUCUGGGACGGUACUGACGUUCAGGCACGAAAGCGUGGGGAGCAAACAGG